GAUGAACGCUGGCGGCGUGCCUAAUACAUGCAAGUCGAACGAACAGAUAAGGAGCUUGCUCCUUUGACGUUAGCGGCGGACGGGUGAGUAACACGUGGAUAACCUACCUAUAAGACUGGGAUAACUUCGGGAAACCGGAGCUAAUACCGGAUAACAUAUUGAACCGCAUGGUUCAAAAGUGAAAGGCGGCUUUGCUGUCACUUAUAGAUGGAUCCGCGCCGUAUUAGCUAGUUGGUAAGGUAACGGCUUACCAAGGCAACGAUGCGUAGCCGACCUGAGAGGGUGAUCGGCCACACUGGAACUGAGACACGGUCCAGACUCCUACGGGAGGCAGCAGUAGGGAAUCUUCCGCAAUGGGCGAAAGCCUGACGGAGCAACGCCGCGUGAGUGAUGAAGGUCUUCGGAUCGUAAAACUCUGUUAUCAGGGAAGAACAAAUGUGUAAGUAACUGUGCACAUCUUGACGGUACCUGAUCAGAAAGCCACGGCUAACUACGUG
This 497-nucleotide ribosomal RNA is filed under the name uncultured bacterium. Its description in RNAcentral is "partial 16S ribosomal RNA". It matches the Rfam family "Bacterial small subunit ribosomal RNA", at positions 28 to 507 of the family's 1533-position model. The record is from RNAcentral.